AAUAUUGUUAAAGUCUUAGCAACCGAGUACAAUGGUCGUAACUAUAAGAGAUAAUUGUUUGCUUUACUUCUUUAUUUACUGUUUUAUGUUUUAG
Molecule: long non-coding RNA, 94 nt
Organism: Limulus polyphemus (Atlantic horseshoe crab)
Lineage: Eukaryota; Metazoa; Arthropoda; Merostomata; Xiphosura; Limulidae
Exons: 3
Source: RefSeq, a predicted model, not a curated record